Molecule: ribosomal RNA, 492 nt
Filed under: uncultured bacterium
Lineage: Bacteria
Description: partial 16S ribosomal RNA
Rfam family: Bacterial small subunit ribosomal RNA
Source: RNAcentral
AGUGAACGCUGGCGGUAGGCCUAACACAUGCAAGUCGAACGGCAGCACAGUAAGAGCUUGCUCUUACGGGUGGCGAGUGGCGGACGGGUGAGGAAUACAUCGGAAUCUACUUUUUCGUGGGGGAUAACGUAGGGGAACUUACGCUAAUACCGCAUACGACCUACGGGUGAAAGCAGGGGAUCUUCGGACCUUGCGCGAUUGAAUGAGCCGAUGUCGGAUUAGCUAGUUGGCGGGGUAAAGGCCCACCAAGGCGACGAUCCGUAGCUGGUCUGAGAGGAUGAUCAGCCACACUGGAACUGAGACACGGUCCAGACUCCUACGGGAGGCAGCAGUGGGGAAUAUUGGACAAUGGGCGCAAGCCUGAUCCAGCCAUACCGCGUGGGUGAAGAAGGCCUUCGGGUUUUAAAGCCCUUUUGUUGGGAAAGAAAAGCAGCAGGUUAAUACCCCGCUGUUCUGACGGUACCCAAAGAAUAAGCACCGGCUAACUUCGUG